RNAcentral lists this transfer RNA (458 nucleotides) under Oscillatoriophycideae cyanobacterium ATA5.5-1-CV5. RNAcentral describes it as "16S-23S ribosomal RNA intergenic spacer". The stretch from base 112 to 185 matches the Rfam family "tRNA". The record is from RNAcentral. Lineage: Bacteria; Bacillati; Cyanobacteriota; Cyanophyceae.
UUUAAGGGAGACCUACCCUCUGAAGACCGAUGAAGUCGGUCACAGAAGGUCAUCCCAGGUCGUCGAGGUCGUGGAAACAAAAGCUUUCAAACUAUUACGGUUCCGGUUCAAGGGCUAUUAGCUCAGGUGGUUAGAGCGCACCCCUGAUAAGGGUGAGGUCCCUGGUUCGAGUCCAGGAUGGCCCACCUAAAAUCAAGCAAUCAACUUGACAAGUAAGGGGGGAAAGCUGGAGUUGGGACAUCCCAAUCAAGUGGCAGAUGCCUAAGCUACAACAAGUCCAAACCGAAAAUCGGAAAAAGAAGUCAGCAUCGACUCUGAAACUGAAAAAGCAUCAGAGAGACUGCUGGACUCUAAUUCCAGCCAAAGAACCUUGAAAACUGCWUAGURACGUUAAAAAGCAGGAAAAAACGAGACGUCCAAUCGAAGAAGGCGUCCGUAUCRUCCAAGCAAGAGAAUGU